GAUGAACGCUGGCGGCGUGCCUAAUACAUGCAAGUCGAGCGAACGGACGAGAAGCUUGCUUCUCUGAUGUUAGCGGCGGACGGGUGAGUAACACGUGGAUAACCUACCUAUAAGACUGGGAUAACUUCGGGAAACCGGAGCUAAUACCGGAUAAUAUUUUGAACCGCAUGGUUCAAAAGUGAAAGACGGUCUUGCUGUCACUUAUAGAUGGAUCCGCGCUGCAUUAGCUAGUUGGUAAGGUAACGGCUUACCAAGGCAACGAUGCAUAGCCGACCUGAGAGGGUGAUCGGCCACACUGGAACUGAGACGCGGUCCAGACUCCUACGGGAGGCAGCAGUAGGGAAUCGUCCGCAAUGGGCGGAAGACUGACGGAGCAACGCCGCGUGGGUGAUGAAGGUCUUCGGAUCGUAAAACUCUGUUAUUAGGGAAGAACAUAUGUGUAAGUAACUGUGCACAUCGUGACGGUACCUAAUCAGAAAGCCACGGCUAACUACGUG
Molecule: ribosomal RNA, 497 nt
Filed under: uncultured bacterium
Lineage: Bacteria
Description: partial 16S ribosomal RNA
Rfam family: Bacterial small subunit ribosomal RNA
Source: RNAcentral